This 543-nucleotide long non-coding RNA is filed under the name Homo sapiens (human). RNAcentral's name for it is "HSALNT0398428". Lineage: Eukaryota; Metazoa; Chordata; Mammalia; Primates; Hominidae. The record is from RNAcentral.
GCAAGAACAAAGACCCUGUUAUCCCAAUCAUCAUCAUGAGGACUAGCUGGGCCGCAGCUUAAAGGGACAUUUCAUAGCUUAAAAAAGACAAACUGUUGGUCCUGCCACCUCCAACUACAAAGGUGUUGCAACUGAUAAGCCUUUUGGGAUCUUGAGGACGCCACAUCUCACGUGUGGAAAUUUCACUAACGUGGCUGCAGCAAGUGACCAGACAGAUGGCCGCAUUUGAGUGGGAGCCUCUUUAGCAAGAGCUUUUUAAAAUCAAGCUCCACCCAGGAGCUCUUUAUCUUCUUCAGAACCCACGGGAUUACAGACAUCUGCACCAGCCCCCGUGGGACCUUGGAGUCCAGGAGAAUGAAUACCAAGGCAUUGAUGCUCAUGCUCCCUGCUGGCUGGACCCAGGGAUGGAGCAGUGUCCUCACUCAUUGCACUCACCCUACCCAGGAUCUAUUUUUAGAGAAAAUCCCUUAAUCAGAAAGGAAGACUAAGAGAAAAAGGAAGAAAAGAUCUACAAAACAACUAGGAAAAAGUAACAAAAUGGCA